ACUCUAACUACAAUUAUACACAAAUAGGCGGAUUAAUAUCUACACAACCAAAUUGCAAGGCUUAUUUCCAACAAAGCUCCCUUGAAAGUGGAUCGAAUGACGAAACAAGAGCAAUUUCCUGGGCCAUGUAGGCGUCGACAAACAACGGGUAAUCUCUUAAGAUGUACAAUUUAUAUCCAAAUAAAGCGGGAUUAUUUUCCACUGUUUGCUUUUAUACGCGUACGAAAGGCGAGCGUCAAAAAUUGUGACUUCGUGAAGAAAUUGGGCGUGUUUACUUCAGAAUUUGGGGCGAAUUCAGCAACCUGACCUACGAGCGAAGUUCGCAACCGAAAGUUAUUUUAAGAGCACCUACAGGCAAAAAGUUUUGGUACGUUUUAGUCACAGAUAAGGGCACCUCUUAACAUCUGUGUAGGAGUUGGCUUUACGAGUAAAUUAUUUAGCAUAAAGGAAAAGUUUAUGUGGGUAUAUAAUUGAAGCUUAAUUAAAUUUAUGACGGUUGGUUAUCUGUUAUAUUUUUAUACAAGCUACUUAGCUGAGAUUUUCUGAAUAUUCAGUAACUUUUAGAGAACGAUGUUUAGUUGAAAUUAACAAUAUUAUCUUACUCUACUACAUAACUGUAUAUAUCUGACGAUACAAUACCUAGAUAUAUAUUAUAGCGAAUUUUAAUGGCGUUAAAACAUAAAACUUUGUGUACAUAAAACUGUAUGAGUACAUAAAUAUAGGUUACUAAAUACAGUCAUAUAGUAGACAAAUGACUAAACGGGUCGCAUAAUGGGGAGUAAUAACCCAGUCUGUUGUGAGGACCCACAACAUUUAGUUACGGAC
Zerene cesonia (dogface butterfly) is the source of this 825-nucleotide long non-coding RNA. RefSeq lists it as uncharacterized. NCBI's taxonomy places the organism in Eukaryota, Metazoa, Arthropoda, Insecta, Lepidoptera, Pieridae. The transcript is spliced from 3 exons. The record is from RefSeq and is a predicted model, not a curated record.